CAGAUUCCUUGUCCUCAAGGAAUGUAGGAAACCUUGCCUGUAACUCAUCAGCAUAUUCCCACGAAGCAUCAGCAGGGGAAAGACCUCGCCAAUGGAUUAAGAGUUGAGUGGCAGCUGCAUUAUGCCUCUUCACCAUGCGACGAUCCAAAAUAGCUUGUGGAUAAGCAUCUUGGAUGUGAGACACAGGUGGUAAGGUAGGACUAGCAGUCACAGGUGCCGAUGCAAGUUUAAGUUGAGAAACAUGAAAGACAUUGUGGAUCUGGGCAUCAGAAGGAAGAUUGAGACGGUAGGCAACUGCACCAAUGCGAUCAGUGAUCUGGAAUGGCCCAAAAUACUUUGGUUGGAACUUAUGAUGUCCCUUCCAAAUAGAAAGUUGUCUAUAAGGCUGCAAUUUGAGAAAUACCCAAUCUCCCACUGCAAAUUCUCUAUUGACUCGAACCUUAUCAGCUUGAGUUUUCAUUAGAUGCCUAGCUUUAUCCAAGUGAAACUUUAGAAUAGAUAAAUCAUUUUCUCGAUCCCUUAAAAAAAUGUCUACUGCAGCAAUUUUUGAAUCACCAAAAUUGAGCCAAGGGUAACCACUGAGCCCACGAGUGCGGCAAAUCUCCUGUCAUACACCUGAGGUAACUCUGAAGGCAUCUAUUUACCACUUCAGACUGCCCAUCCGUUUGUGGGUGAUAUGCAGUGGAUAGUUUUAAUUGAACCCCUUGAAGAGCAAAUAAUUCCUUCCAAAAUGCACUCAAAAAAAUUGAAUCCCUGUCACUCACAAUUGUUUGAGGCAGUCCGUGCAUCUUGAAUACAGAAUCUAGGAAAGCCAUAGCUACUGUUUUAGCAGUAAAAGGGUGAUGGAGGCCAAUAAAGUGGGCAAAUUUGGAUAAUCUAUCUACUACAACCAUAAUGACUGUCAUACCACGAGAUAGAGGAAGGCAUUCAAUAAAAUCCAUGGUUACGUCAGAGAAUAAUGUGGUAGGAACAGGCAAGGGCUGUAGUAAACCUGGUGUCGCAGUCAACUCUGGUUUAUAUCUCUGACAGACAAAACAAUUCCUAACAUAUUGUCUCACAUCUCGAUGUAACCCAGGCCAAUAAACAAGAGAAGAUAUUUUUUUUAAAGUAGCAGUCACACCCGAGUGCCCUCCAGUAGCAGAAUCAUGGAACACAGCCAAUAGUUGUUGCUUUAAUUCAGGAUUAUGACCCACCACUAAUUUCCCUUUUCUCCUCAAUUGUUGAUUAUGCCACUGAAAAGAUGGAUGAGAAGUAGAAUUAAGUUUCUUAUCAUUUAUAAGAUGUUGGCAAUUAGAACCACUACCCCAAGUUUCUGCAAUCUGCCCAUAUAAUGAUGAAGGAAGCAGUGUAGAAGAUAAGACAUUCAAUUCUAGUAGUGGUGAUCUUGACAGAGCAUCAGCUACUGCAUUGUCAGAACCCUUCUUAUAUUUGAUAUCAUAAUCAAAAUAUAUAAGCUUCGCCAUCCAAGCUUGCUGAAUGGGGGUUGUAAGUUUCUGAUCCAAAAGGUAUUUUAGGCUGUGAUGGUCAGUUAAGAUAGUAAAAUGCUUUGUUUGCAAGUAAUGAUUCCAUUUUUUGACAGCAAAUAAGAUUGCAAGUAGUUCUCUCUCAUAUGUAGAAAGAGAUUGAUGCUUGAGGGAUAAAGCCUUACUGAUAAAAGCUACCGGAUGUCCAGAUUGCAUUAAUACGGCCCCAAUACCAAUAUUUGAAGCAUCUGUUUCAAUGACAAACUCUUUAGAGAAAUCUGGUAAUGUGAGAACAGGAGCAGAAGUUACAGCAAAUUUAAGAGAUUCAAAGGCCUGUUGAGCUUCGUUUGACCAAUGGAACCCAUUCGCCUUGAGUAAUUCAGUUAAAGGCCUAGCAAGAACUCCAUAGCCUUUGACAAAACGUCUGUAAUACCCUGUGAGCCCUAGAAAGCUCCUUAAUUGCUUUGGAGUGGUAGGUCUAGGCCAUUGUCUCACCACUUCAAUUUUAGAUGGAUCAGUUUGAACCCCUUUUGCUGAGAUAAUAUGUCCCAAAUACUCCAUUGAUAGAAAGCCAAAAAAACACUUACUUCUUCUGGCUAAGAAUUGGUGAUCCCUCAUAGCUUGCAAGAUUUGUUGCAAAUGAAGGAGAUGCUGCUCUUUAUUCUCACUAUAUAUUAGAAUAUCAUAAAAAAAAACUAAAACAAAUUUCCUCAAAAAUGGCUUAAAAACUGAAUUCAUGAGACUUUGGAAGGUUGCAGGGGCAUUAGUUAAGCCAAAAGGCAUAACUAGGAAUUCAUAAUGUCCCUCGUGCGUCUUGAAAGCUGUCUUAGGAAUAUCUUCCUCAUGCAUCCUGAUUUGCCAAUAUCCAGAACGCAAGUCGAUUUUAGAAAAUAUAGUGGCAUGCCCCAGUUCAUCAAGCAACUCUUCUAUCACAGGUAUAGGAAAUUUGUCUUUCACAGUAGCAUGGUUAAGUGCUCUAUAAUCAACACAUAAUCUCCAGGUGUUGUCUUUUUUCUUUACAAGCACAACUGGACUUGCAUAAGGGCUAGUAUUGUUCCUUAUCACCCCAGCUUUUAACAUAUCUGUAAUCAUGUCUUCAAUUGCAUCUUUCUGUUCAGCUGCAUAUUUAUAUGGUCUGAUGUUAAUUGGUGAAGAUCCUGCUUUGAGAACAAUUCUGUGAUCAUGAACACGUUUUGGGGGCAAGGUCUUUGGCUCCUGAAACAAAUCAUUAUAAGUCAAUAAGAGAUUAUUUAAAUCAGGCCAAGAUUUCUGUUGCUGCUCUAACUCGACUUGCUCCUGCGGACCUGCUACUGAAUACAGAUAGGCAGUAGCUUCACGUCUGUCCACGUGAAAUAAUCCAUCAUCAUUAAGGCAAGUCAUCAAGCUAUUAAGCUCUU
Molecule: unclassified non-coding RNA, 2860 nt
Filed under: Hevea brasiliensis (rubber tree)
Lineage: Eukaryota; Viridiplantae; Streptophyta; Magnoliopsida; Malpighiales; Euphorbiaceae
Source: RNAcentral